CGGGGUGUGGCGCAGUUGGUAGCGUGCUUGGUUCGGGACCAAGAGGCCGCGAGUUCAAGUCUCGCCACUCCGACCA
This 76-nucleotide transfer RNA is filed under the name Ruminococcaceae bacterium OttesenSCG-928-A16. RNAcentral's name for it is "tRNA-Pro". It matches the Rfam family "tRNA". Rfam says of the family: Transfer RNA (tRNA) molecules are approximately 80 nucleotides in length. Their secondary structure includes four short double-helical elements and three loops (D, anti-codon, and T loops). Lineage: Bacteria; Bacillati; Bacillota; Clostridia; Eubacteriales; Oscillospiraceae. The record is from RNAcentral.